RNAcentral lists this ribosomal RNA (119 nucleotides) under Triticum dicoccoides. Lineage: Eukaryota; Viridiplantae; Streptophyta; Magnoliopsida; Poales; Poaceae. The record is from RNAcentral.
GGAUGCGAUCAUACCAGCACUAAAGCACCGGAUCCCAUCAAAACUCCGAAGUUAAGCGUGCUUGGGCAAGAGUAGUACUAGGAUGGGUGACCUCCUGGGAAGUCCUCGUGUUGCAUUCC